CGCGGCCUAUCAGCUUGUUGGUGAGGUAACGGCUCACCAAGGCGUCGACGGGUAGCCGGCCUGAGAGGGCGACCGGCCACACUGGGACUGAGAUACGGCCCAGACUCCUACGGGAGGCAGCAGUGGGGAAUAUUGCGCAAUGGGCGAAAGCCUGACGCAGCAACGCCGCGUGCGGGAUGACGGCCUUCGGGUUGUAAACCGCUUUCAGCAGGGACGAAGCAACACGUGACGGUACCUGCAGAAGAAGCACCGGCCAACUACGUGCCAGCAGCCGCGGUGAUACGUAGGGUGCGAGCGUUGUCCGGAAUUAUUGGGCGUAAAGAGCUUGUAGGCGGUCUAUUGCGUCGAAAGUGAAAACUCAGGGCUCAACCCUGAGCCUGCUCUCGAUACGGGUAGACUUGAGGGAUGUAGGGGAGAACGGAAUUCUUGGUGGAGCGGUGGAAUGCGCAGAUAUCAGGAGGAACACCGGUGGCGAAGGCGGUUCUCUGGACAUUUCCUGACGCUGAGAAGCGAAAGCGUGGGUAGCAAACAGGCUUAGAUACCCUGGUAGUCCACGCCGUAAACGGUGGGUACUAGGUGUGGGGGACAUUCCACGUUCUCCGUGCCGCAGCUAACGCAUUAAGUACCCCGCCUGGGGAGUACGG
This 644-nucleotide ribosomal RNA is filed under the name uncultured bacterium. Its description in RNAcentral is "bacterial SSU rRNA". It matches the Rfam family "Bacterial small subunit ribosomal RNA", at positions 232 to 885 of the family's 1533-position model. The record is from RNAcentral.